CCGUCUUGAAACACGGACCAAGGAGUCUAGCAUGUGCGCGAGUCAUUGGGAACACUGAUAAACCCAGAGGCGAAAUGAAAGUGAAAGGCCGGCCUCGAGCCGGUCGCAGGGAAGAUGCGCGGGCGUCGUCAGACGCCCCGCCGCAUUCCCGAGGCGUUUCGAGAAAGCCCCCGUGCGAUUAUCGAGACGCACUGAGAGCGUACACGCUGGGACCCGAAAGAUGGUGAACUAUGCCUGGUCAGGUCGAAGUCAGGGGAAACCCUGAUGGAGGACCGAAGCGAUUCUGACGUGCAAAUCGAUCGUCCGAACUGGGUAUAGGGGCGAAAGACUAAUCGAACUAUCUAAU
This 346-nucleotide ribosomal RNA is filed under the name Limnephilus externus. RNAcentral's name for it is "eukaryotic LSU rRNA". It matches the Rfam family "Eukaryotic large subunit ribosomal RNA", at positions 649 to 948 of the family's 3401-position model. The record is from RNAcentral. Lineage: Eukaryota; Metazoa; Arthropoda; Insecta; Trichoptera; Limnephilidae.